This 69-nucleotide transfer RNA is filed under the name Marmota monax (woodchuck). RNAcentral's name for it is "tRNA.Ala". It matches the Rfam family "tRNA". From Rfam's summary of the family: Transfer RNA (tRNA) molecules are approximately 80 nucleotides in length. Their secondary structure includes four short double-helical elements and three loops (D, anti-codon, and T loops). Further hydrogen bonds mediate the characteristic L-shaped molecular structure. tRNAs have two regions of fundamental functional importance: the anti-codon, which is responsible for specific mRNA codon recognition, and the 3' end, to which the tRNAs corresponding amino acid is attached (by aminoacyl-tRNA synthetases). tRNAs cope with the degeneracy of the genetic code in two manners: having more than one tRNA (with a specific anti-codon) for a particular amino acid; and 'wobble' base-pairing, i.e. permitting non-standard base-pairing at the 3rd anti-codon position. The record is from RNAcentral. Lineage: Eukaryota; Metazoa; Chordata; Mammalia; Rodentia; Sciuridae.
GGGUUGUGGCUCAGUGGCAGAGCGCUUGCCUAGCACCUAUGAGGUACUGAGUUCAAUCCUCAGCACCCA